Molecule: ribosomal RNA, 719 nt
Filed under: uncultured bacterium
Lineage: Bacteria
Description: bacterial SSU rRNA
Rfam family: Bacterial small subunit ribosomal RNA
Source: RNAcentral
GGACAGAAUCCUUCGGGAGGAAGACCAUUGUGACUGAGUGGCGGACGGGUGAGUAACGCGUGGGUAACCUGCCUUGUACAGGGGGAUAACAGUUGGAAACGACUGCUAAUACCGCAUAAGCGCACAGUACCGCAUGGUACGGUGUGAAAAACUCCGGUGGUACAAGAUGGACCCGCGUCUGAUUAGCUGGUUGGUGAGGUAACGGCCCACCAAGGCGACGAUCAGUAGCCGACUUGAGAGAGUGAUCGGCCACAUUGGGACUGAGACACGGCCCAAACUCCUACGGGAGGCAGCAGUAGGGAAUAUUGCACAAUGGGGGAAACCCUGAUGCAGCGACGCCGCGUGAAGGAAGAAGUAUUUCGGUAUGUAAACUUCUAUCAGCAAGGAAGAAAAUGACGGUACUUGACUAAGAAGCCCCGGCUAAAUACGUGCCAGCAGCCGCGGUAAUACGUAUGGGGCAAGCGUUAUCCGGAUUUACUGGGUGUAAAGGGAGCGUAGGCGGCAUGGCAAGUCAGAAGUGAAAGCCUGGGGCUCAACCCCGGAAUUGCUUUUGAAACUGUCACGCUAGAGUGUCGGAGGGGUAAGCGGAAUUCCUAGUGUAGCGGUGAAAUGCGUAGAUAUUAGGAGGAACACCGGUGGCGAAGCGGCUUACUGGACGAUUACUGACGCUGAGGCUCGAAAGCGUGGGGAGCAAACAGGAUUAGAUACCCUGGUAGUCC